This is a long non-coding RNA of Ictalurus punctatus (channel catfish), 1087 nucleotides long. RefSeq lists it as uncharacterized. The record is from RefSeq and is a predicted model, not a curated record. Lineage: Eukaryota; Metazoa; Chordata; Actinopteri; Siluriformes; Ictaluridae. The transcript has 2 exons.
GUUCCAUAUGCAGCACCGGGAUAGUGUCGUAAAGGGUCUGUGUAUCCGGAGGAGUAUAAGGGUAUCUGUCCCAAGAAUGACUCCUGUCCUCCAGGCAGAGUCACCGGGAACGUGGAGUUUACAAAAUAGGAACUCAUUGAUAUUUUAUACACACUGGGGAGGAAAAUAAUGUGACACCAACUCACCAUAACAGAACAUAAUGUAAAGCAGCAGUCGUGGAAGAUCACCGCGGACGAUGGAACUCACUUCAGAUAUAUGACUUUGUCAAGUAUGAUGUAACCUCAUCUAAAGUUCUCUGCGUUUGUGAUGGCAUUGAAUAUAUUGUGAGUAUGCCUGUGCCUGCGUUGUAUUUUCUGGAAACUUCUGCACGGCGUAAUUUAUUGCAGUCUAACAUAGCUAUUUACCUGUUUUUGUAUUGAAAAUGUUGUUUUUCUGUUUUGUUUUUCUAAAAUGAUUUGUUUAUGAGUUAUUAAAUGAUAAUUUAUUCUUAAAAUAUGUUUGUAAAAGAUCCGGUUUUUUAAUCCACUGGACAUCUCGGGUCAUAAAAUUCUAACUUUUCAAUAAUGCGGAUACCAAAAAAAUACAGUUGAUUCAAAUUUCAUAUAUUUUAAGCCUAUCCUGACUGAAAUCAAUUUUAAAAAAUGAAACAAUAUUGUCUCUAAAAUGUUUGUUUAAGUAAAUCUAUAGAAUAGGUCUGAGCACCAUGCUCUGUAUUUAGUGAAAUCUAAAGGCUUUGAAAUUACUUUGCUUUUUAUUAAUUAUAUUAAUAGUUAAUUUGUUAUAUUCAUACUGAAUUUAUAUUUAAUUUCCCAUCUACUUUUGUAUAUGGUAGAAUUCUAUUUGUUGGUGUGUUUUGUUAUGAAUACUAAAGAAGAAAUUAAGCAAAAGUUUAAAAUGUUUUCUUAUUAAAAUAAACUGAUGCGACCGUCGGGGUUAAAUAAAAAGUUAAAUAAAAGAUAACUCUACCUUGUCACCUAUUCCGAAAUUCCGCUUCCCAGCCAAUGAAUUUCUACAUCACAUAAGUUAAUUAGCUUUACAGUGUUCCUUGGGUCAAACAGCAACUUUCUUUGAGAUCAAAUAAUGCAGA